AGCUCGACGGGAUCGACGCCGCGGGUGACGACGAGGUAGUCGCGCAGUGCGAUGCCGUGCCGGUUCUC
Modestobacter sp. is the source of this 68-nucleotide small RNA. It matches the Rfam family "ASdes TB sRNA". The record is from Rfam. Lineage: Bacteria; Bacillati; Actinomycetota; Actinomycetes; Geodermatophilales; Geodermatophilaceae.